Lynx canadensis (Canada lynx) is the source of this 975-nucleotide long non-coding RNA. RefSeq lists it as uncharacterized. The transcript has 3 exons. NCBI's taxonomy places the organism in Eukaryota, Metazoa, Chordata, Mammalia, Carnivora, Felidae. The record is from RefSeq and is a predicted model, not a curated record.
ACCUCAGCCCGGGGCUUCUCUGCAGCAGGUGCCGAAGGUGGAGUCGGACCAGCGGCCCUUUUACUCUUCCAGGAAGGAAGGGAUCCUUGCCUGCCCGCCCCCGUCACUCCCACCCUUGCUUUUGGAGAGCAGGUCUCUUCAAAUCCUCAAGAUGUCUUUGGCCCUUGAGUGACUCUCCUCAAGUUACCAGAGCCUUGCUGACAAUAGAUAACUGCUGUCCUGUAUGACCCACAAGACAUUUAAUGAGAGGGAUACCUUGAAGACAAAUAGAUGAAGAUUAGAGAUGGGACCAGUAUGUGUACCCAACUUCACAGACCUUCAGAGAUCUACCCGAAGCCCCAGUGCCUGUUGUCCUUGGCAGUGUGAGUGCAAUGACAGUGAAACAUUUCCUCAUUCACCUCUCGGCCCUUCCUGCUUGUGGCAAAGGUGUCAAGCAGAUUGCUGGGGAUGAAGGCGUAGUAGUUGUGUCUGACCACUGUGCAAGUGUCGCCUUCUGUAGCCAGGGUCACAUCGAGGGCACUGAAGUUGAGAACAGCCCACUUGGGUUUCUUGUAGUUGGCUAGUCACUGAUCCGGAAGCCCAUGAUGAGAUUAUCCAGGGACGACGUGAAUGGCUUCAGUAGCAACGAAUAGGUGAUUCUGUUGUUGAAUCUAACCUCUUGAGCCAGGUGAUAGAUUUCUGGGGAUGGUACCCCAAAAGUGGCAAACGUCUCCCCAAAAAGUCGUGAGGUCCUGGAUGGAACAUAGGCCCAGUUCUGUAGUUGUUUUUGUGACCUCACCUUCCCUGGAACUGAGCUCACCUAUGGGGGGAUCUGCAAUGUUGUGAAUACCUCUUGUUCUUACAGUAAGAGUGAGGUGACCCUGAGGGAGGGGGUGAUUGUUUUAGAGAUAAUUUAAGAAUGCGAGGAGAUUGUAGGAAAUAGAGUAAGAUGAAGAGAUUGGUAAGAUCAGGAAGGUAGCAAGGCGCCUGGGUGGC